UACGUAGGUGGCAAGCGUUGUCCGGAAUUAUUGGGCGUAAAGCGCGCGCAGGCGGUCCUUUAAGUCUGAUGUGAAAGCCCACGGCUCAACCGUGGAGGGUCAUUGGAAACUGGGGGACUUGAGUGCAGGAGAGAAGAGUGGAAUUCCACGUGUAGCGGUGAAAUGCGUAGAGAUGUGGAGGAACACCGGUGGCGAAGGCGGCCCUCUGGACCGGUACUGACGCUGAUGCGCGAAAGCGUGGGGAGCAAACGGG
Molecule: ribosomal RNA, 253 nt
Filed under: uncultured bacterium
Lineage: Bacteria
Description: partial 16S ribosomal RNA
Rfam family: Bacterial small subunit ribosomal RNA
Source: RNAcentral